GAUUUCUGAUUCGACAAGCUGACCCGUAUCCAAUAUUGGAAAUGUGUGUCUUGCAUUGUCAGUCAUCCUUCCAAGGUACUUUUCUACCCUUAACUGGGCCGGAAAUUGAAACUUGGAACUUUUACUUUGAAAAAAUUAGAGUGUUCAAGGCAGGCUAUUGCGCAUGAAUACAUUAGCAUGGAAUAAUAAUUUAGGACUUUGGUUCUAUUUUGUUGGUUUCUAGGACUAAAGUAAUGAUUGAUAGGGAUAGUUGGGGGUGCUAGUAUUCAGCGGCCAGAGGUGAAAUUCUUGGAUUCGCUGAAGACUAACUUAUGCGAAAGCAUU
This 324-nucleotide ribosomal RNA is filed under the name uncultured Ventricleftida. RNAcentral's name for it is "SSU rRNA". It matches the Rfam family "Eukaryotic small subunit ribosomal RNA", at positions 627 to 955 of the family's 1831-position model. Lineage: Eukaryota; Cercozoa; Thecofilosea; Ventricleftida. The record is from RNAcentral.